UGGCUCAGGACGAACGCUGGCGGCAUGCCUAAUACAUGCAAGUCGAGCGAAUGAUGAAGAAGCUUGCUCUUCUGAUUAGCGGCGGACGGGUGAGUAACACGUGGGCAACCUACCCUAUAGAUUGGGAUAACACAGGGAAACCUGUGCUAAUACCGAAUAACACCUUUCUCUUCAUGGAGGAUGGUUGAAAGAUGGUUUCGGCUAUCACUAUAGGAUGGGCCCGCGGCGCAUUAGCUAGUUGGUGAGGUAAUGGCUCACCAAGGCAACGAUGCGUAGCCGACCUGAGAGGGUGAUCGGCCACACUGGGACUGAGACACGGCCCAGACUCCUACGGGAGGCAGCAGUAGGGAAUCUUCCACAAUGGGCGAAAGCCUGAUGGAGCAAUGCCCGCGUGAGUGAAGAAGGAUUUCGGUUCGUAAAACUCUGUUGUAAGGGAAGAACAAGUAGCGUAGUAACUGGCGUUACCUUGACGGUACCUUAUUAGAAAGCCACGGCUAACUACGUGCCAGCCGCUGC
Molecule: ribosomal RNA, 516 nt
Filed under: uncultured bacterium
Lineage: Bacteria
Description: bacterial SSU rRNA
Rfam family: Bacterial small subunit ribosomal RNA
Source: RNAcentral